Molecule: ribosomal RNA, 1372 nt
Filed under: uncultured bacterium
Lineage: Bacteria
Description: bacterial SSU rRNA
Rfam family: Bacterial small subunit ribosomal RNA
Source: RNAcentral
GAUGAACGCUGGCGGCGUGCCUAAUACAUGCAAGUCGAGCGAACGGACGAGAAGCUUGCUUCUCUGAUGUUAGCGGCGGACGGGUGAGUAACACGUGGAUAACCUACCUAUAAGACUGGGAUAACUUCGGGAAACCGGAGCUAAUACCGGAUAAUAUUUUGAACCGCAUGGUUCAAAAGUGAAAGACGGUCUUGCUGUCACUUAUAGAUGGAUCCGCGCUGCAUUAGCUAGUUGGUAAGGUAACGGCUUACCAAGGCAACGAUGCAUAGCCGACCUGAGAGGGUGAUCGGCCACACUGGAACUGAGACACGGUCCAGACUCCUACGGGAGGCAGCAGUAGGGAAUCUUCCGCAAUGGGCGAAAGCCUGACGGAGCAACGCCGCGUGAGUGAUGAAGGUCUUCGGAUCGUAAAACUCUGUUAUUAGGGAAGAACAUAUGUGUAAGUAACUGUGCACAUCUUGACGGUACCUAAUCAGAAAGCCACGGCUAACUACGUGCCAGCAGCCGCGGUAAUACGUAGGUGGCAAGCGUUAUCCGGAAUUAUUGGGCGUAAAGCGCGCGUAGGCGGUUUUUUAAGUCUGAUGUGAAAGCCCACGGCUCAACCGUGGAGGGUCAUUGGAAACUGGAAAACUUGAGUGCAGAAGAGGAAAGUGGAAUUCCAUGUGUAGCGGUGAAAUGCGCAGAGAUAUGGAGGAACACCAGUGGCGAAGGCGACUUUCUGGUCUGUAACUGACGCUGAUGUGCGAAAGCGUGGGGAUCAAACAGGAUUAGAUACCCUGGUAGUCCACGCCGUAAACGAUGAGUGCUAAGUGUUAGGGGGUUUCCGCCCCUUAGUGCUGCAGCUAACGCAUUAAGCACUCCGCCUGGGGAGUACGACCGCAAGGUUGAAACUCAAAGGAAUUGACGGGGACCCGCACAAGCGGUGGAGCAUGUGGUUUAACUCGAAGCAACGCGAAGAACCUUACCAAAUCUUGACAUCCUUUGACAACUCUAGAGAUAGAGCCUUCCCCUUCGGGGGACAAAAUGACAGGUGGUGCAUGGUUGUCGUCAGCUCGUGUCGUGAGAUGUUGGGUUAAGUCCCGCAACGAGCGCAACCCUUAAGCUUAGUUGCCAUCAUUAAGUUGGGCACUCUAAGUUGACUGCCGGUGACAAACCGGAGGAAGGUGGGGAUGACGUCAAAUCAUCAUGCCCCUUAUGAUUUGGGCUACACACGUGCUACAAUGGACAAUACAAAGGGCAGCGAAACCGCGAGGUCAAGCAAAUCCCAUAAAGUUGUUCUCAGUUCGGAUUGUAGUCUGCAACUCGACUACAUGAAGCUGGAAUCGCUAGUAAUCGUAGAUCAGCAUGCUACGGUGAAUACGUUCCCGGGUCU